Molecule: unclassified non-coding RNA, 391 nt
Filed under: uncultured fungus
Lineage: Eukaryota; Fungi
Description: partial contains small subunit ribosomal RNA, internal transcribed spacer 1, and 5.8S ribosomal RNA
Rfam family: Eukaryotic small subunit ribosomal RNA (bases 1-73)
Source: RNAcentral
GCAAACUUGGUCAUUUAGAGGAAGUACAAGUCGUAACAAGGUUUCCGUAGGUGAACCUGCGGAAGGAUCAUUAUUGAAUUCAUCCAUAAAACGAGAGCGCGCCCAGUCUCGCGGUCGGUGCCGGAGCGAUUCGGUGCUGUGCUGUAGUUCUGUCAGCGCGCUCUUAAACCCCUUGUGAACCGUAAACAACUCUCUGCCUGCUAACUUAAUUGGCGGCUGGUGGAGAGACCAAUUAUUUAAACCUGUUUAUUGUGUAUGUCAAUUAGCAUUUCUCUUUAAAGAGAAAAGUAGCGUAGCGAUGCGCGAAUCUCUUUAAAAGAACCAUAAUUUAAUAUAUAAUACAACUUUUAACAAUGGAUCUCUUGGCUCUCGCAUCGAUGAAGAACGCAGC